This 319-nucleotide unclassified non-coding RNA is filed under the name Hevea brasiliensis (rubber tree). The record is from RNAcentral. Lineage: Eukaryota; Viridiplantae; Streptophyta; Magnoliopsida; Malpighiales; Euphorbiaceae.
GAAUAUGCUCCUGUAGCCUCGCUUGAGCGGUCGCUAGCCAUGUUUGGAUCAACGUUUAAUGUCGCAGGUGGCGACUGGGGCAUCAAAUCUCAUGGGAAGAAGAAGGAAUUCAGGUCUAGUUUUUCCAGGGUCAGGUUAUAUGAUCUUAGGGCCUUGUAAGAGACAAUGGGCCUAGGUUGUUUAGAGUUGGUUUAUUCUCUUGCUUCUGGGGUCUUUCUCUGUAAUGGCUCUGGGCUUGAGCUUUAAUUGAUUUUUACGUAUAGGCCAUUUUAUGUAUUUGAUCCAUUAAUGAGUUGUAUUCUACCAUAAGGUGAGAAAG